RNAcentral lists this unclassified non-coding RNA (423 nucleotides) under Hevea brasiliensis (rubber tree). Lineage: Eukaryota; Viridiplantae; Streptophyta; Magnoliopsida; Malpighiales; Euphorbiaceae. The record is from RNAcentral.
GCCAGUGGGUAUUCUUGGAGAGACUUGUUUCAUCCCAACAAACCUAGUAGAGCGACAUUUACUGACUUUAGCUCCUGCAUUAGAUGGUUGUGCAUCAUAGACAGUGAACUUGGUCCCCAAGAAGUUGGAUCUCAGCUUCCCAAUGUAGGUGCUGCUACCCCUGGAAGCAACUUCGGCAUUUAAAGAAAUGAUGUAAUCUGUGUAUGUUGGCCUUUUACACUUCCGAGCAGCAAGAAGGAACUUACCGUCAUCGUUAGCAACUUCAUUUAAAUUAAGGAAAAGGUGAUAUGUCUGUGAGCUGCGGUUCCUUCUGAUGAAACAUUGAACAAGUUUGUCUCUUGGACCAGGCUGCUUCAAGGAGAUUGGGAACGUCAAUUUUCCGCUAACUUCAGGUGUUUUAACAAUCUCUUUCAUGAUUUCCCU